This 305-nucleotide ribosomal RNA is filed under the name uncultured bacterium. RNAcentral describes it as "bacterial SSU rRNA". It matches the Rfam family "Bacterial small subunit ribosomal RNA", at positions 334 to 637 of the family's 1533-position model. The record is from RNAcentral.
UGCGCCUACGGGAGGCAGCAGUGAGGAAUAUUGGUCAAUGGGAGAGAUCCUGAACCAGCCAAGCCGCGUGAGGGAAGACGGCCCUAUGGGUUGUAAACCUCUUUUGUCGGAGAACAAAACCCGGGACGUGUCCCGGACUGCGUGUAUCCGAAGAAAAAGCAUCGGCUAACUCCGUGCCAGCAGCCGCGGUAAUACGGAGGAUGCGAGCGUUAUCCGGAUUUAUUGGGUUUAAAGGGUGCGUAGGCGGUCCGUUAAGUCAGCGGUAAAAUCGUGGGGCCCAACCCCAUCCCGCCGUUGAAACUGGC